Molecule: unclassified non-coding RNA, 320 nt
Filed under: uncultured Ascomycota
Lineage: Eukaryota; Fungi; Ascomycota
Description: sequence contains ITS1
Rfam family: 5.8S ribosomal RNA (bases 1-106)
Source: RNAcentral
GAAAUGCGAUAAGUAAUGUGAAUUGCAGAAUUCAGUGAAUCAUCGCAUCUUUGAACGCACAUUGCGCCCGCUAGUUACUCUGGCGGGCAUGCCUGUCCGAGCGUCAUUUCAACCAUCAAGCCCCCGGGCUUGCGUUGGGGACCUGCGAGCUCUCCGCCCGCAGGCCCUGGAAACCAGUGGCGGGCUCGCUGACACACCAAGCGUAGUAGCAUAAUUCACGCUCAGGGCGUGCUGCGGGCUCCGGCCGUAAAAUCGACCCCUCGUGAGAGGAGACACCCAAGGUUGACCUCGGAUCAGGUAGGAAUAUCCGCUGAACUUAA